UGCAGUCGAGCGGAACGAGUUAUCUGAACCUUCGGGGAACGAUAACGGCGUCGAGCGGCGGACGGGUGAGUAAUGCCUAGGAAAUUGCCCUGAUGUGGGGGAUAACCAUUGGAAACGAUGGCUAAUACCGCAUGAUGCCUACGGGCCAAAGAGGGGGACCUUCGGGCCUCUCGCGUCAGGAUAUGCCUAGGUGGGAUUAGCUAGUUGGUGAGGUAAGGGCUCACCAAGGCGACGAUCCCUAGCUGGUCUGAGAGGAUGAUCAGCCACACUGGAACUGAGACACGGUCCAGACUCCUACGGGAGGCAGCAGUGGGGAAUAUUGCACAAUGGGCGCAAGCCUGAUGCAGCCAUGCCGCGUGUGUGAAGAAGGCCUUCGGGUUGUAAAGUACUUUCAGUCGUGAGGAAGGUAGUGUAGUUAAUAGCUGCAUUAUUUGACGUUAGCGACAGAAGAAGCACCGGCUAACUCCGUGCCAGCAGCCGCGGUAAUACGGAGGGUGCGAGCGUUAAUCGGAAUUACUGGGCGUAAAGCGCAUGCAGGUGGUUUGUUAAGUCAGAUGUGAAAGCCCGGGGCUCAACCUCGGAAUAGCAUUUGAAACUGGCAGACUAGAGUACUGUAGAGGGGGGUAGAAUUUCAGGUGUAGCGGUGAAAUGCGUAGAGAUCUGAAGGAAUACCGGUGGCGAAGGCGGCCCCCUGGACAGAUACUGACACUCAGAUGCG
Molecule: ribosomal RNA, 718 nt
Filed under: Vibrio owensii
Lineage: Bacteria; Pseudomonadati; Pseudomonadota; Gammaproteobacteria; Vibrionales; Vibrionaceae
Description: bacterial SSU rRNA
Rfam family: Bacterial small subunit ribosomal RNA
Source: RNAcentral